Dufourea novaeangliae is the source of this 46-nucleotide non-coding RNA. NCBI's taxonomy places the organism in Eukaryota, Metazoa, Arthropoda, Insecta, Hymenoptera, Halictidae. The record is from Rfam.
CCAUUGGCCCUUAUCAGGGCCACAAACUCUUUAAUGAAGGAAUGUU